RNAcentral lists this ribosomal RNA (253 nucleotides) under uncultured bacterium. Its description in RNAcentral is "partial 16S ribosomal RNA". It matches the Rfam family "Bacterial small subunit ribosomal RNA", at positions 524 to 776 of the family's 1533-position model. The record is from RNAcentral.
UACGGAGGAUCCAAGCGUUAUCCGGAAUCAUUGGGUUUAAAGGGUCCGUAGGCGGCCUUAUAAGUCAGUGGUGAAAUCUCACGGCUCAACCGUGAAAUGGCCAUUGAUACUGUAGGGCUUGAAUUAUUGGGAAGUAACUAGAAUAUGUAGUGUAGCGGUGAAAUGCUUAGAUAUUACAUGGAAUACCGAUUGCGAAGGCAGGUUACUACCAAUGGAUUGACGCUGAUGGACGAAAGCGUGGGUAGCGAACAGG